UGGGGAAUAUUGGACAAUGGGCGAAAGCCUGAUCCAGCCAUGCCGCGUGUGUGAAGAAGGUCUUCGGAUUGUAAAGCACUUUAAGUUGGGAGGAAGGGCAGUAAGCGAAUACCUUGCUGUUUUGACGUUACCGACAGAAUAAGCACCGGCUAACUCUGUGCCAGCAGCCGCGGUAAUACAGAGGGUGCAAGCGUUAAUCGGAAUUACUGGGCGUAAAGCGCGCGUAGGUGGUUUGUUAAGUUGGAUGUGAAAGCCCCGGGCUCAACCUGGGAACUGCAUUCAAAACUGACAAGCUAGAGUAUGGUAGAGGGUGGUGGAAUUUCCUGUGUAGCGGUGAAAUGCGUAGAUAUAGGAAGGAACUCCAGUGGCGAAGGCGACCACCUGGACUGAUACUGACACUGAGGUGCGAAAGCGUGGGGAGCAAACA
This 427-nucleotide ribosomal RNA is filed under the name uncultured Pseudomonas sp. RNAcentral's name for it is "bacterial SSU rRNA". It matches the Rfam family "Bacterial small subunit ribosomal RNA", at positions 355 to 774 of the family's 1533-position model. Lineage: Bacteria; Pseudomonadati; Pseudomonadota; Gammaproteobacteria; Pseudomonadales; Pseudomonadaceae. The record is from RNAcentral.